This 484-nucleotide ribosomal RNA is filed under the name uncultured bacterium. RNAcentral's name for it is "partial 16S ribosomal RNA". It matches the Rfam family "Bacterial small subunit ribosomal RNA", at positions 28 to 507 of the family's 1533-position model. The record is from RNAcentral.
AUUGAACGCUGGCGGCAUGCUUUACACAUGCAAGUCGAACGGCAGCGCGGGCUUCGGCCUGGCGGCGAGUGGCGAACGGGUGAGUAAUGCAUCGGAACGUGCCCAGUAGUGGGGGAUAGCCCGGCGAAAGCCGGAUUAAUACCGCAUACGACCUGAGGGUGAAAGCGGGGGACCGAAAGGCCUCGCGCUAUUGGAGCGGCCGAUGUCGGAUUAGCUAGUUGGUGGGGUAAAGGCUUACCAAGGCGACGAUCCGUAGCUGGUCUGAGAGGACGACCAGCCACACUGGGACUGAGACACGGCCCAGACUCCUACGGGAGGCAGCAGUGGGGAAUUUUGGACAAUGGGGGCAACCUUGAUCCAGCCAUGCCGCGUGCGGGAAGAAGGCCUUCGGGUUGUAAACCGCUUUUGUUCGGGAAGAAAUCCUCUGGGCUAAUACCCCGGGGGGAUGACGGUACCGGAAGAAUAAGCACCGGCUAACUACGUG